CUUGUGUCGUCACUAGAUCUCUUAAAAAGAUGGACCCUCAGCGGCGCUUCCUCGUAGCGAGCCUAGUGGCGGGUGUUUGCAUUGAAACGUGAGCGCGACCCGACCUUAAAGAGUGGGGAGCAAAGGGAGGACAGAGCCCUUUAAAACGAGGCGGGUGGUGCCUGCCCCUUUAAGGGCGGGGCGUCCGGACGACUGUAUCUGAGCCCCAGACUGCCCCGAGUUUCUGUCGCAGGCUGCGAGGAAAGGCUCCUAGGCUGGGUCCGGGUGCUUGGCGGCGGCGGCUUCCUCCCCGCUCGUCCUUCCCGGGCCCAGAGGCACCUCGGCUCCAGUCAUGCUGAGCAGAGUAUGGAAGCACCUGACUACGAAGUGCUAUCCGUGCGAGAACAGCUAUUCCACGAGAGGAUCCGCGAGUGUAUUAUAUCAACACUUCUGUUUGCAACACUGUACAUCCUCUGCCACAUCUUCCUGACCCGCUUCAAGAAGCCUGCUGAGUUCACCACAGGUACUUUGAUUUCCCUCCCUCCUGCCAGAGUCCCUGUUGCCAUGGACCAGCCUCAGGGGAAUGGGCCUAUGGUACCCACUGGGAAAGGAGCAGUGGCUGUGUGGGGCUGUUCUGGAGCCUUUGCCUCUUCAGCCUCCCUUUCUGCAAGAUAGGGGCAAGGGCGGCUAGAUGGACGUGUCUGCUGGGCAAGUCAUAUAACAUUUCUGAUCCUCAGUUUCAUCCUACAAAAUGGGCAUAACAAUGUCUACCUACUCCAUUGUGUGGACCAAAGGAGAUGGUUAAUGUGAAAGCCCUUUGUGAACCUGAAGUGAGCAACUGCUGGAUGAAUGUCAUUACGGGCACAGGCUCUGUGUCAUCUCCUCUCCUAGUGCU
This 874-nucleotide small RNA is filed under the name Pan troglodytes (chimpanzee). RNAcentral describes it as "retained intron". The record is from RNAcentral. Lineage: Eukaryota; Metazoa; Chordata; Mammalia; Primates; Hominidae.